UACGAAGGGGGCUAGCGUUGUUCGGAAUUACUGGGCGUAAAGCGUAUGCAGGCGGACUUCUAAGUCGGGGGUGAAAUCCCGAGGCUCAACCUCGGAACUGCCUUCGAUACUGGAAGUCUUGAGUCCGGGAGAGGUGAGUGGAACUCCGAGUGUAGAGGUGAAAUUCGUAGAUAUUCGGAAGAACACCAGUGGCGAAGGCGGCUCACUGGCCCGGUACUGACGCUGAGAUACGAAAGCGUGGGGAGCAAACAGG
Molecule: ribosomal RNA, 253 nt
Filed under: uncultured bacterium
Lineage: Bacteria
Description: partial 16S ribosomal RNA
Rfam family: Bacterial small subunit ribosomal RNA
Source: RNAcentral